This is a ribosomal RNA of Mustela putorius furo (domestic ferret), 119 nucleotides long. NCBI's taxonomy places the organism in Eukaryota, Metazoa, Chordata, Mammalia, Carnivora, Mustelidae. The record is from Ensembl.
GUUUAUGGCCAUACUGCCCUGAAGAGGUCUGAUCUCCACUGACCUAGAAAGCUAAACAGGGUCAAGCCUGGCUAAUAGUUGGAUGGAAGACCACUGGGGAAUACUGGGUGCUAUAAGCU